GAUGAACGCUGGCGGCGUGCUUAACACAUGCAAGUCGAACGAAGCACUUCAUAAAGCUUGCUUUAGGAAGUGACUUAGUGGCGGACGGGUGAGUAACGCGUGGGUAACCUGCCUUACACAGGGGGAUAACAGUUAGAAAUGACUGCUAAUACCGCAUAAAACAGCAGAGUCGCAUGACUCAACUGUCAAAGAUUUAUCGGUGUAAGAUGGACCCGCGUCUGAUUAGCUUGUUGGUGGGUAACGGCCUACCAAGGCAACGAUCAGUAGCCGGCCUGAGAGGGUGAACGGCCACAUUGGGACUGAGACACGGCCCAAAACUCCUACGGGAGGCAGCAGUGGGGAAUAUUGGACAAUGGGCGAAAGCCUGAUCCAGCGACGCCGCGUGAGCGAUGAAGUAUUUCGGUAUGUAAAGCUCUAUCAGCAGGGAAGAAAACGACGGUACCUGACUAAGAAGCCCCGGCUAACUACGUG
Molecule: ribosomal RNA, 471 nt
Filed under: uncultured bacterium
Lineage: Bacteria
Description: bacterial SSU rRNA
Rfam family: Bacterial small subunit ribosomal RNA
Source: RNAcentral